AGAGAGAGACAUGCGCGCAUAUCAAUAAGCGGAGGAAAAGAAACUAACAAGGAUUCCCCUAGUAACGGCGAGUGAAGCGGGAAGAGCUCAAAUUUGAAAUCUUAAAGGGUUUCCCUUUACGAAUUGUAGUUUAAAGAAGUGUUUUCUGUUGAGGUUUUGGUAAAAGUUCUUUGGAAUAGGACAUCAUAGAGGGUGAGAAUCCCGUAUUUGACCUUUACUUUCAACUUUGUGAUACACUUUCAAAGAGUCGGAUUGUUUGGGAAUGCAGUCCAAAAUGGGUGGUAAAUUUCAUCUAAAGCUAAAUAUUGGCGAGAGACCGAUAGCGAACAAGUACCGUGAGGGAAAGAUGAAAAGAACUUUGAAAAGAGAGUUAAACAGGUACGUGAAAUUGUCAAAAGGGAAGCGUUUGACACCAGUGUUGUUUUUCUGAAAAUCAAUUAAAGAACUGUUUAUGCUAAGUUGUUUAGACUUUAUCAGCUAACUGUUUAGUUUUGAGCUUUUCUUUAAUGCACUUUUCAGUUAACAAGUCAACAUCAAUUUCUUUUGCUGUAAAAAAGCUUGAGGAAGGUGGCUUGAGAUUCGUCUUAAGUGUUUAUAGCCUCUUGCCUAUGCAGUCGGAGAGAUUGAGGUCUGCAGCGUAGAUCCUUCGGGGCUAAAUGCAUUUGUGCUAAGUUAUAGCAUUUUAUAGACAACUUGUUGACUAUGAUUUGUCUUGUAGCUUACUCGCUUAUGUUAUUUUACCUACGCUUAGGAUGUUGAGCGCAUGUCUCUCUCU
This 775-nucleotide ribosomal RNA is filed under the name uncultured Neocallimastigales. Its description in RNAcentral is "partial large subunit ribosomal RNA". It matches the Rfam family "Eukaryotic large subunit ribosomal RNA", at positions 23 to 616 of the family's 3401-position model. Lineage: Eukaryota; Fungi; Neocallimastigomycota; Neocallimastigomycetes; Neocallimastigales. The record is from RNAcentral.